CAGGUUCCUGGUCCCAGUCUGCUCUGACUCAACCUCUAUCAGCCUCUGGAUCUCUAGGACAGUCAGUCACCAUCUCCUGCACUAGAACCAGCAAUGACAUUGAGAUUUAUAAUAAUGUCUCCUGGUAUCGAUAUCUCCCAGGAGCAUCUCCCAAAAUCCUGAUUUAUGGAGCCACUAAUCAUCCCUCCAGUGUACCCAAUCGCUUCUCUGGCUCCCAGUCUAGCAAUUCAGCCUCUCUGACUAUUUCUAGCCUUCAGGCUGAGGAUGAGGCUGAUUAUUAUUGCUGCUCAUAUACAAGCAGCA
Molecule: long non-coding RNA, 303 nt
Filed under: Marmota monax (woodchuck)
Lineage: Eukaryota; Metazoa; Chordata; Mammalia; Rodentia; Sciuridae
Source: RNAcentral